Molecule: ribosomal RNA, 253 nt
Filed under: uncultured bacterium
Lineage: Bacteria
Description: partial 16S ribosomal RNA
Rfam family: Bacterial small subunit ribosomal RNA
Source: RNAcentral
UACGUAGGGAGCAAGCGUUGUCCGGAAUCAUUGGGCGUAAAGCGCGCGUAGGUGGCCCGGUAAGUCCGCUCUGAAAGUCACAGGCUCAACCUGUGAAAGCGGGUGGAUACUGCCGGGCUAGAUUCCGGAAGAGGCGAGUGGAAUUCCUGGUGUAGCGGUGGAAUGCGCAGAUAUCAGGAGGAACACCAACGGCGAAGGCAGCUCUCUGGGACGGUACUGACACUGAGGCGCGAAAGCGUGGGGAGCGAACAGG